CCAAAUAAGAAGCAGAACACGGCGAGCAUUUGACCUGUAAGCACACCACGACGCGGCGCGAAUAAUAAUCAAAGCAUUUAAUCUGUAAGCACACCAUGAUGAAGAAAAAGCACACCACGACUUUUGUUUUAUCCAUAUUCCUCUUCCUUUUCUCUCGAUUCUAAGGUGAGUAGAAAUGUUUACUAAUUAGCAACCAGUGUCUUCUUUUGAUAUAUGUGAUUUUUUAAUAUUGUUGUGAAGUGGUUAAUUUUUUAUCUUCUGUUUGGUUGAUCAGAAACUAAUUAGGAAUUUAGAAGAAAAAUCGGAAAAUCUAGAAUAUUGUGAUCUAUGAUCAUGAUUGCAGGCUUUAUCAAAUGUUAAUUUAUU
This 366-nucleotide long non-coding RNA is filed under the name Panax ginseng (ginseng). RNAcentral's name for it is "long non-coding RNA (PGIN_LNC016830)". Lineage: Eukaryota; Viridiplantae; Streptophyta; Magnoliopsida; Apiales; Araliaceae. The record is from RNAcentral.